Long non-coding RNA from Ipomoea triloba (trilobed morning glory), 753 nucleotides. RefSeq lists it as uncharacterized. NCBI's taxonomy places the organism in Eukaryota, Viridiplantae, Streptophyta, Magnoliopsida, Solanales, Convolvulaceae. The record is from RefSeq and is a predicted model, not a curated record. The transcript has 2 exons.
GACACUUCAAUUUCAGAAGCACACUUCAAAGCACACUUCAGAAGUAUUUUCGUUCCUCUCUUUUCAUCUCUUGCUUUCAGAAGCACACUUCAGAAGCAAACAGUGUUCUUCAGGUUUUAGGCGUAGUGUUCUUCUCCCUCUACAUAGCUCCAACACUUCUCUCUCUUCUUUUUCUCUUCAGAUCUGAGGGUGGCGGUGAGACGGAGAGCGACGGAGGGCUUACAAAUCUGCUUCAGCAAGGAGACGGAGCGACGGACAAUUUUUUUUACAAAUGUCUAAAACAGUGGAGAGAUCUGCUUCUCACUUACCAGAUCUGCUUUUGAUUCUCACCUUCCAGAUCUACUUUAGUUUCUCACCUUACAGAUCUCUCCUUCAGCUUCUCACCUUCCAGAUCUGCUUCCAAGCUCCAAGGAGAACCCGUGGGAACUCUGGAAGAUCCAACGGUUGAUCGAGAGGAUGAUACGGGCGGGAGCUGCACAGAACAAACGCCACAGUGGCUUUCUCGGCGGUGAUGAGGUCGAAAUCGAAAUCAGAAGAUGCCGAUUUAACUAAUUCCUUUGACUAUGAAGUGAAAAGUAGGCCGGAAACAGUUCAAAGAUGGAGCCUCAUGAACAUGGGAUAUCUGGAGAUCGAUGAUAAAAUUUUCAGUUCAAGAUGAACUUCUUUUUUCUCUCUUAUUUUGAUUUGUUUAGUCUGAGAGACAUGUAUUUGUGCUAUGAAUAAUUUCUUAUGUAUAUGUUUUGUGAAACGAAA